This 484-nucleotide long non-coding RNA is filed under the name Sorghum bicolor (sorghum). Its description in RNAcentral is "long non-coding RNA (SBIC_LNC000437)". Lineage: Eukaryota; Viridiplantae; Streptophyta; Magnoliopsida; Poales; Poaceae. The record is from RNAcentral.
UCCGCCCUCGCGCGCACGGAGCGCCGUGCCUGGGAUCUCUAGAAGGGAAAGCGACGGCGCCGUGCGAGCUUGGCGCGCGCGUGUCGACACCCGCAGACCCCGGUUCAUCAGGUCAGGUCUCUCUCCAUCAUUGGCUUCGGCUUUGACCGCUGAAUGGCGCCAGGCGUCAGCGCGGAUGCGCAUGCGCUGGUGCGAUUGUGAUUCAGAUUGUGUGACGCACGCAACGGCCCAUGGAUACAUCGGCAGCGUCUUGUCAUUGCCGCAUGCGUCGUCGGAGCCCAAAGGUCCAUUACUAUUUCUCCUGGCUGGAAAAGUACGUGCACCCAUUGUUGGGCCUGUUGGUUGAUUUUGGUUCGACAACUCUGCUCAAACAAACACCUCUGCUCAGGGAAUUUCCUCACUCCUUGUUUGCUUAGAGCCUUGUUUAGUUCCAUUUUUUUUUUGCAAAAUGAAUACUGUAGCACUUUCGUUUGUACUAGAACCG